RNAcentral lists this ribosomal RNA (265 nucleotides) under uncultured archaeon. RNAcentral's name for it is "partial 16S ribosomal RNA". It matches the Rfam family "Archaeal small subunit ribosomal RNA", at positions 717 to 982 of the family's 1478-position model. The record is from RNAcentral.
AGUCACUGACAUUAGAUACCCGUGUAGUCCCAGCCGUAAACUAUGCGCGUUAGGUGUACUGGUGACCACGAGUCACCGGGGUGCCGAAGGGAAACCGUGAAACGUGCCGCCUGGGAAGUACGGUCGCAAGGCUGAAACUUAAAGGAAUUGGCGGGGGAGCACCGCAACGGGAGGAGCGUGCGGUUUAAUUGGAUUCAACACCGUAAAACUCACCAGGGAAGACUGUUACAUGAAGGCCGAGAUGAAGACUCUGCUAGAUUUUCAG